Long non-coding RNA from Malaclemys terrapin pileata, 3666 nucleotides. RefSeq lists it as uncharacterized. Lineage: Eukaryota; Metazoa; Chordata; Testudines; Emydidae. The transcript has 3 exons. The record is from RefSeq and is a predicted model, not a curated record.
GCCAGUCCCCAACCUGCCAGGCCGCCUUCUCCACAGGGCCCUCCAGCCAGCUCCCCUGGGCCAGUCCCCAUCCUCCCAGUCGCCUUCUCCACAGGGCCCUCCAGCCAGCUCCCCUGGGCCAGUCCCCAACCUGCCAGCUGCCGUCUCCACAGGGCCCUCCAGCCAGCUCCCCUGAGCCAGUCCCCACCUGCUCCCUAGCCCCACCCUCCUGGAGGUCUGCUGGGGCACAGCUGACUCCAACCAGCCCAAGAGUGAGUCGAGUCCUUUUCACACCCGGCCCUGACCCUCUCACAGCACCGCCUCUGCCCCCUCGUCCUUGGGGCUCAGCCCAAUGGGGGCUCCCCCCACCCCGUGCCCAUGAACCGUCCCCAGCCGCCUUGCCUAUGGGGUCAGCGCAGCAGGCUGCUGCAUGCCCCCCUCCUGCCAGCUGCCCCCGGCCGCACUGUGCGUGCUGCAAGCUCCUCCGCACACUCACUCUGCAGGGUACCGGCGCAGCGAGUUGGUGGCAGCUGGCAGGAGCAGGACACACAGCUGCCGCCGCCCCGACCCCCUGGACAGGAGGAGUGAGCAGACCCGCUCCAAACCCAAUCCUUGCAGGCUGGCCCCUCGGGCUGCAAGGCUCUGCUCCCUGCCCCCUGCCAGCAGGGGCCAAUGCACCUGUAAUUGGGGGCUAGAGGCUAGUAAGGGCAGUAGGUCGAAAGCAUUGGCUCUGGGAUAAUUGCCCUAGAGUCCCCAGCUGAGAGCAGAGCCCUUGUGGUGGGUACUGUACAGCUGGCCUGGUACAUGCAAGCCGGCAAUGCAGAGCUCCAUGCAGGACCUGUUUGUCCAGGGGUGGGAUGGAGGGCAGCUCCCUGCAUUGCCUGGCAGCUCUUAAUAUGCUCCCAUGGGGCUCUGCAGAGCCUGCCCCCAACCCCAACCCCCCUGCCCAUUUAGGGCUGGCCAGGAGUUGGGGCUGAAUGGUGCUGCAGGGGCGUGAGGUUGCCAUGCCCUGUGCUGUGAACUCCCCAAGUGGUCCCACCACUCCUUUGCCAACGCUCCUCUUUGCUCAUGCUACAGGCCCAUUUCACUGCCGAUCACUGGUUGCUAAAGACUAUAAAAUAAUGCAGACUAGUUGUCAGGGCAUAAAAACACCAGCUCCCACCAGCCCAGUCCCUGCCGCUCCCCCUGAGUACAAGGGCAGCACAGGGUCACUGGGAGCAUGCUAGGGGAUCUCCUGCCCCAGCCACUGUGCAGCCUGCUGUGGGGAACAGGCUGGGCUUCCAACAGGGGCCGUAGCCCUGUAUGGCAAGGGACUGCCCCAGGGCUAGAGGAGAUCCCCAGGAGAGAGGGCGUAAGACCCUGUACCACCAUUCUCAGGUGAAGACAGCCUGGGAUCCCUGCUCUGGGCUGGGUCCUAGCGUGGGGCUGGCCUGCAAUGCUGAUAAGCCAGUUAAUGCACAGACCAGUGCGAAGUCUGCCCUGCACAGCUUGUUUGCUCACUGGGGAGAGGAAAACCCCAGCUCAGUCUGGCACCAAGCGACAGUCCCUGGCUUGGCCUCAGCCCAGCUGGGUGACCUUAACAAGGGGCUUCUUCGUCCCCUUGGACCUGGGUUCUCUAUCUGGAAAAUAGGGCUACCCCUUCCCAGGGGCUGAAUCCACUAGCAAGCGGGAGGUGGGACAGGGACAAGCCAGGCCUAGAUCCUGCCAUUCCCUUCAUCCAGAGCAGUGAGGCCCUUUACAGAGCUGGAUUCCUCCACAUUCCCAGCUCUGGGUGUAGCACCGGCUUCUUCUCUCCAAUUACCGCACUGUCCUGCCUCCACGGGCUCUGGUAGGCCCCAUUAAUCAUUCGCAAACGCUGAGAAGGAGUCUGGCCCGGCGCCCCCACCUGGCCUGCUCCUCAUUCCCAGCAGUGUGCCAGCUGGGGACCAGCACUGCUUAUCAAGGCCCCUGAUGAGGAGGGGGAGCUGGUAUGUCUGCCCUAGCUCUGGGGGUAAGGAGAGGUGCUAUGAGCCAGUGGGCCCCUCUGCUCACUAGCUGUCUCCAUCUCCCCUAGCCAGAGAGAGCUCCCACCCAGGAAUGCUACAGCCACUGAUUUAGGGAAGCCGACCUGUGACCCCCCGUGUCUGAUUUUCAGUGGGGCUGAGUACCUUACCUGCAGCUUGAUAGCAAGGCGAGCCACAGCCACACAGCCCCCCUCUCGAAAUCAGGCUCCAUGUGCCCAAACUGGUCACCCAAGCGCUGAGUCCCCAGGAUCGAUGGGCAUUUUACAUGCAACUGCCAGUGCCUGGAGCAUGCUACUCUCCUCCUCUGCCUCCUUUACCACCCCCCACCCCUCAGGGACCCAAACACAAUAACCUCGCACAUUCUGUAGCACUACCCACAGCAAGGCAUGUGCAAACACCACCUAAUCUCUUCAUCCGGCAGUGAAAUGCAGCCACCUCUGGGGUGGGAACGCAACAGGUGUUUGAUGGAGCCCAGCAAUGCUAUAAUGCACCAGCUGGGAACUCCCAGGAUGUGGCUGGGGUGGCGGGCAGGCAGGUGGAACCCAGGAGUCCUGCACCCAGGCCUGUGCUUCAAUCGCAUGAGCUGUCUCCUAGUCCCUUCUCCAUUGGGACGCAGGGAGCAGCCAGGGGGAACCUGCUGUGCUGGGAGGAACAAAGUUCAUCAAGUAGCACUGAGCAAACCAAACCUACAGACAGAGUGCGCCAAAGGGUAGCCUCCUGCAGCAAAGGCUGGUUCCCCCCACAGGUUCUCAGGCCAGAGUCCAAAAGAGCGUGAGGCGCAGGAGGCACUAAGGUAUGCAAAAAGCCGUCCCCAGCUCAGCUCGGGCCAGGUUUCCUUUCACCUCACCUGCCAAAGCUGCUGCUGAAGGAUUAAUGGGGUCCUCGCCCAACUCACAGCCUCUGUUCAGUAGAGGAGGCAAUAGGCCCCAUCCUGCUAGUUCUUACUAAAUGGGAUUACAAGUGGUGGGGGGCGGGGGAAGGGGUUAAUAGUUCCUGAUGUGCAAUACCCCAGCAGCCCUAGGCCUAGCCCUACAAUGAAAGUGCAGGAGGAAGAGAGCCCAGGAGAUCUCCCAAGGGUGAUAAAUGUGGGCCAGUCAGCACCAGCUCAGCCUGGAUCGUUCCACAGCUGAAUCCUCUAGGGCCACUCCUCCACCUGAACCUCCUCAGUCUCACCUGGAACAGCUACUGCAUCAACCAGCCUCCUGCCACAUGCACCCCAGGGCCCCAUUCCUGCACCCACAACCCCUGGCACCUGCAUGGAGCCAGCUGCAGACUCAGGCCCUGGCUUGGCAGCAACUCUAGCCUCAAGCACAUCCAGCUGCAAAGAACACCAGCUGUCUUCACAUUCCUGGAUGGCACCUCCCAUUCUCUGAGGGCCACAGGCUUUAACGCAGUCUCACCCUGUCGCCAUCUCCCUUCAGCGCAGCGUUUCAGGAAGGUGUUGCAGAACCUGAAGAGACUUCCACAUGGCAUCUCCAUGGCAAUGUAUGCAUACACAUUCCAUGCAGCCUUUGCCUAGGGACUAAUUAUUCCCUGGUUUUGGUGCGGAACCGGAGGCCACAUGAAGAAGGUGCCUGAUUGCUCGGACUCACUGGGCUGGAAUCAAUGGGAGUGGAGCUCCGACAGCUUGUCUGAUCUGCUCUUCAAUCUCCUACAAAGGGAAGUGCGGGUGUUUUUAUUUAGC